Molecule: ribosomal RNA, 253 nt
Filed under: uncultured bacterium
Lineage: Bacteria
Description: partial 16S ribosomal RNA
Rfam family: Bacterial small subunit ribosomal RNA
Source: RNAcentral
UACGUAGGUGGCAAGCGUUGUCCGGAUUUACUGGGCGUAAAGAGCGCGUAGGCGGUCGGCUAAGUCGCGUGUGAAAGCCCCCGGCUCAACUGGGGAGGGUCACGCGAUACUGAUCGACUCGAAGGCAGGAGAGGGUAGUGGAAUUCCCGGUGUAGUGGUGAAAUGCGUAGAUAUCGGGAGGAACACCAGUGGCGAAGGCGACUACCUGGCCUGUUCUUGACGCUGAGGCGCGAAAGCUAGGGGAGCAAACGGG